GUUAUGUUUAUUAGUUAUUCCUUGGGAAAGAUUCUCAGAUAUGGAAUACCUGUAUCAGAGGCUUCUUACAUCAAAUGUUUUUCAAAGUGUUUAUAGCAAGGUUAGGGGGAGAGAUAGAUGGAGAGACAGAGAGAGAGAGAGAAGAAAGGGCUGUGGGCAAAAUAUACCUUUCCAGGGCACACCCUCCCUCCAUGACCUACUUCCUCCAACUGGGAGGGCCCCACCUCCUACAGUUUCCACCACCUCCCAAGAGUGCAAUCCAAUUAUGAAUCUGUUCAUGGAUUAGUCCACUGACAAGGUUAGAAUGCUCACCUGCCUGAAGUCCCCACCUGCGAACACUGUUACACUGGGGACCACACCUUCAACACAUGAGCCUCUCAUUACAGAUCCAAACCAGAACCCAUUUCAACACAUAACCUAUGUUAAAAUUACUAUUAAUUUUCCUCACACAAAGUCUUUGAAGCCUGGUGAUCAUAUCACACUUGCAGCACAUCUUGAUCUGCUUCAGUUCAAGGGCUCAGUGGCUGUGUGGGGCUCCAGGCUACCCUGGGGAAUAGGGCAGAUUUAGACAGUGGUGGCUUUCAGCUGAUUGACUCUUUUCUACACUCCAUGCUGAACAACCUUUUAAAAGUGUCCUUUCUCAGGGUCCAACAUAGUUGAUUAGCUUUUGAUAUAGUGUGGUUACAAUCAUUUUGAACAUAACUCUUCUUGACAGAACUUGGAGGUUUCCCAGUCUCUGUAGCCACAGUUGACAAUGUCUUGAUCACCGCAGAGGACAACUAAUCACUCUGUCAGUCUUUGUCUCUCUGACUCUUUCUGCCUUUGCUUUUUCCCUCCCACUCAUUUUUUUUUUUAAGAAUAAAAAUUGAUUAAUUUUUUUCUGGUUAAAAAUACACCCCCCCACACACACACAUAUUUUAAAGAAUCAGGCACUCAAAUGGAAAAAAUACAAAUCAACUGAAGCUUAUUCCAUGAAGAUAACCAUCAGUAGUGUUCAUGUAGCUCUUCCUUUGGUGUCCAAAACAUACGUUUAUGAAAAAAAGAUUGAUGUAAUAUGUGCUAUUGUCGAGGGGCCCUGAACAGGGGUUGAGCACGCCCCCUUAGCCUUGAGUAAUGGGGGUGUGGAACUGGAAUCAAAUGCAGUGUGAAGCAAGUGGGCCUUCCCUUCCCUCAGCAAGGAAGUGCGGCUCUGGGAUUGGGCGUCACCCAGUGGGACUGGGCUGUACCCCCCUGUGUGUUGUAACACUAUCCCUUGACUUAUUUGGGUGGAAUAGUCUAUCAAAUGUCUUUCCCCUAAUAAAAACAGGGGUUUGGGGUGUAGUCACUCUCUUGCCUCUUGGCUGCCUUGCUCCUUUUGCCCUCCAGCACAGGAGCUGACCCCUGAAGUCGCAUCCCUGACCCCUGAAAAAGGUAUUUUGUGUUUGUGUGGUCUUUUCAUUGCCAGCCCAAUUCCCGUGGAGUGACCCUGAAUCCGUGGCUGUGCGGGACGUGGGUGAUAUGCUAUUUUACUUAGCCUGCUAAAAUUAUGUAUUAUGGAUAUAUACUUAUUAAAACUAUGGAUUGAGGGAGGAGAGGAGGUUAAGGGGAGGUGCUAGUGAAUGAAAUUGAUCAAAAUAUAUGCAUG
RNAcentral lists this long non-coding RNA (1624 nucleotides) under Marmota monax (woodchuck). Lineage: Eukaryota; Metazoa; Chordata; Mammalia; Rodentia; Sciuridae. The record is from RNAcentral.